This is a long non-coding RNA of Coffea eugenioides, 644 nucleotides long. RefSeq lists it as uncharacterized. The record is from RefSeq and is a predicted model, not a curated record. The transcript has 3 exons. Lineage: Eukaryota; Viridiplantae; Streptophyta; Magnoliopsida; Gentianales; Rubiaceae.
UACAACCAAACGUUGUAGUUUUAAGAGUUAAGAGGCCUUUGAAAAAGGAAAAGAAAAAGAAGAAACAGAAGAGUAAAGUGCAGAUGCGGGAAGAUAAAUGCCACCAAGUUCGUUGAUUUCAUUCUCUUUCCCUUUUAAUUUCUCUGAAUUCUCUCUCUAACAAUUUGUAAUCAGGUUUAUUUUGGAGAUUUUGGAUGGAAAUAGGCUGUGCAAUCUAGAAGGAGCCACUUGAGCUUGAAUUGUUGUUGUAGUUUGGCUAGUUUUGGAUGUGGUAGAUGAUAAAAUAUUUUUGAAGCUAGGCUUAUUUUUGUUUAAAAGGAGUAAUGGUUAACAUUGCGAAUUUGGAAAUAGGUUGCAAUCUGGAAGGCACCGUGAAAGUGUUUAAAAUGUUUAGGUGGCUUGUUUGGGAUGUAAUAGGUGACAAGACCUUUUGGAAGCUCAAGUUUGUUUUAAACGGUGGUUAUUUUGGAAAGGCACAAUUGCUGUUCAUGUAUUUUUGAAGUAAUGACUUCAACUUUUGGUCAUGCAUAGGUGCUGAAUUAUGAUUAAAUGUCACACGUCCCUUUUUCCAUCCUAGUUUAUGCUUAUUGCUUUUUUAGUUUCAAUUUUGCAUUUUAUUAUUUUUUAUUAAUCCGUGUAAUGAA